UGGGGAAUAUUGGACAAUGGGCGAAAGCCUGAUCCAGCCAUGCCGCGUGUGUGAAGAAGGUCUUCGGAUUGUAAAGCACUUUAAGUUGGGAGGAAGGGCAGUAAAUUAAUACUUUGCUGUUUUGACGUUACCGACAGAAUAAGCACCGGCUAACUCUGUGCCAGCAGCCGCGGUAAUACAGAGGGUGCAAGCGUUAAUCGGAAUUACUGGGCGUAAAGCGCGCGUAGGUGGUUAGUUAAGUUGGAUGUGAAAUCCCCGGGCUCAACCUGGGAACUGCAUUCAAAACUGACUGACUAGAGUAUGGUAGAGGGUGGUGGAAUUUCCUGUGUAGCGGUGAAAUGCGUAGAUAUAGGAAGGAACACCAGUGGCGAAGGCGACCACCUGGACUGAUACUGACACUGAGGUGCGAAAGCGUGGGGAGCAAACAGGAUUAGAUACCCAAGUAGUCCCUGAGCGGGCUGGCAAGGCGCAU
Molecule: ribosomal RNA, 472 nt
Filed under: uncultured bacterium
Lineage: Bacteria
Description: bacterial SSU rRNA
Rfam family: Bacterial small subunit ribosomal RNA
Source: RNAcentral